AACGAACGCUGGCGGCAGGCCUAACACAUGCAAGUCGAACGCCGUAGCAAUACGGAGUGGCAGACGGGUGAGUAACACGUGGGAACGUACCCUUCGGUUCGGGAUAACUCAGGGAAACUUGAGCUAAUACCGGAUACGUCCGAGAGGAGAAAGAUUUAUCGCCGAGGGAUCGGCCCGCGUCUGAUUAGCUUGUUGGUGAGGUAACGGCUCACCAAGGCGACGAUCAGUAGCUGGUCNGAGAGGAUGAUCAGCCACA
Molecule: ribosomal RNA, 256 nt
Filed under: uncultured bacterium
Lineage: Bacteria
Description: partial 16S ribosomal RNA
Rfam family: Bacterial small subunit ribosomal RNA
Source: RNAcentral